AUGAUAGGGACCCUGCUUGGUUUUUAGAUCAGAAACUUUGCUGACCGCGGGCAGUCUUGAAAUCAAAGGAAAAUGACUCCGGGCAGUCCCAUUCCACAGUUUUUGCUCUUCGGCAAAGUACCUCGAGAAAACACACAAUUCUGCCUGCAUUUUCCCUUUAUUCUCUUCAAAAUUCGAUGCUUUUGCCCUGUAUUCAAAACGAGGUUUUAAGGAGAGAACACUUUCUUUUUCCCUUAAAACAAAAGUCAUAUUUCUAUAUUUUGUUACUGGUGAAUUGUUACUACAUUCUACAUUGUCCUGUUUCUACAUUCAGAAUCUAUUAGUCUUGUUUCUUUUUCAAAGAACAAAAUUUCCAACUGGGCUUUUGUGGAUUUGACUUGUUCGUAACAACCCAGAAAUCAGAAUAACAAGAAACUUUAAUUUUCUUCCAUCCCCUUGUUGUCUUCUCUUCAUUACCUGAAAUACCCAGAAGGUAUUUUCCUACCUUUUUUUCCAACUACAGAGAGAGAUCAAGAAAUUUAUUGGUUGUUGUUCGUACAUGAAUUAGUGAAACAAUGAGAAAUGAGAGCUCCAAGAGAAGUAAGGUGUGUAAAAAAACUGAAAGUGCAUUAAUGAAUUUUCCUGCUUUCAAGAUUUCUGAUUUUUGGUGUUUAUUGAUGAAGCUUUUUUGGCCUAAAACACUGGUGAAGAAAUGGUUCAACGUCAAGAGCAAAUCCCAGGACUUCCAUGCUGAUG
RNAcentral lists this long non-coding RNA (735 nucleotides) under Olea europaea subsp. europaea. Lineage: Eukaryota; Viridiplantae; Streptophyta; Magnoliopsida; Lamiales; Oleaceae. The record is from RNAcentral.